UCGCUCAUCAUCUGGUUGUGAAA
RNAcentral lists this microRNA (23 nucleotides) under Tribolium castaneum (red flour beetle). RNAcentral describes it as "Tca-Mir-2-P4-v2_5p* (star (passenger))". The record is from RNAcentral. Lineage: Eukaryota; Metazoa; Arthropoda; Insecta; Coleoptera; Tenebrionidae.